RNAcentral lists this unclassified non-coding RNA (1636 nucleotides) under Hevea brasiliensis (rubber tree). Lineage: Eukaryota; Viridiplantae; Streptophyta; Magnoliopsida; Malpighiales; Euphorbiaceae. The record is from RNAcentral.
AAGAAUUUUCAUCAAUUUUAGAACUUUGAAGCAUGUUCAUCAUAAGCAUAUAAGGUGAAAAGAACAUAAACUCUUUCAACACGGAUGCAUGGGUUUAGCGAAAGCAAAAGAAUUAAGUCUAUUUAGAGUUAAGAAAAUUAGGCCUAAAUGGAGCACACUAAUGGGGCAUGUAUUGGGCUGCCUUGUGGUAGGCCUUUAUUCUUAAAAAAUUCGUGAGUCCAUGAUAUGUUAUUAUUUAUUCACUUUUGAAAACCCAUAUUAAGGAGAUUUUAGUGUUUUUGAUGACUUUUAUGUUCCUAUAUGGGUUGGGAGUCAAUUUGGCAUAUUUGAUUACCAAAUAUUCUCAAAGACCUUCAAAAAUUAUUGCCAGCAAUAAUAGAGACGAAUUUUGAUUUGUUAACUCAGAAUACAAUCUUGGAAGAUUAUUAUUAUCUUGGAAGAUCUUGGCUAGGGGCUAGCAUUUUAUUAAUUAGGAAUCAUUGACUUUUUUUUUCCUAUUUCUAUUAGUAUUUAUUCCAGUUCUGUAUUUUCUUAUUUCCUAAUUAUUUUCUUUGUAAUUUUCUUCUUUAGUUUCUUAUUUUUGCCUAUAAAUAGACUCACAUACAUAAUACUUCAAACACAAUCGAGAGAUUUCAGACACUUCAAAGAAUGAAGAGAAAGUUUAGCAUAAGUGCUACCAAAUUUCAAUUCUCAUCAAUCUAGUUUGAUUGUGGCGAAUUACUUGACUUAUCACACGAUUCCUUUUAUAGCAUAUAUCAUUGAAGAUUGAGUUCUUUAUGGCGUUCUGAAUUUAUUAAAGAUUUUUUUUCUUCUACUUAUCCUUUUAUCUUUCUUAUUUUAUUUUUAGUUUCCGUUCAUAAACAUCAAAACUACAACAAUAUAUUCUUUUAUCCUUUCUUUUUACUUUGUUGCAAGUUAAAACUAGAAAAUAUCAAAAAGCGUUGAAUAUGACACAAUCCAAUUCUUCUGUUUUGAGUGUUUUUGCUUGAUUUUUAUUUAUUUUCUAUUUGUUUAAUGUUAGUUUUCUUUUUUAUUUCUCUUAAUUUGAAUUUCCAUUCUUCUCAGUUUGAUUGAAUUAUUUCUUCCCACAUCAUACUUUGUAUAGAAUACUAUAAUAAUCCAAGAAAGCUAAAAGAAGAAGAACAAAGAACAUAUCAGAAUUUCAUUAAGCCUUCAAGUUAAAAAACUAAAACAAGACACAAAGAAUCUAACUUCAAGUUAAAACAACCAACCAACCCCUUCAAUGGGUUUCAAUUAGAAAAUCAAUACCAGAUAAUUACGCAAGACAAAACCAUUUAAGCCUUUAUUCAUCUUGGUAAACAGUUACUAUAAAUAUGGAAAAUAAUAUUCUGCCUUUCAAUUAGCUUCACAGUAAACAUCUACAAGCAUUUGUUUCAUGACAUUUCUCCUCUGAAAAAAUAAAUUUGAUCAAAACUCAUUUUACUAACAAGCCAGCUGAUGAAAAAGAAGUCACCUUCUCAACAAGCAAUCACAGAGUUCACCAUUUUCCAUUUCAAUGGUUCAAGAUCAAAAUUCACCCGCUCUUUUUCCAAAUUUUUUUGGGGAAAUUCAAAAGCAUCAUAAUUGACACUGAAAAACUCUUGUAACCUUAUUGCAGAAAGGGCAAGCUUCGUAU